UACGAAGGGGGCUAGCGUUGCUCGGAAUCACUGGGCGUAAAGCGCACGUAGGCGGCUUUCUAAGUCAGGGGUGAAAUCCUGGAGCUCAACUCCAGAACUGCCUUUGAUACUGGAGAGCUUGAGUCCGGGAGAGGUGAGUGGAACUCCGAGUGUAGAGGUGAAAUUCGUAGAUAUUCGGAAGAAACACCAGUGGCGAAGGCGGCUCACUGGCCCGGUACUGACGCUGAUGUGCGAAAGCGUGGGGAGCAAACAGG
Molecule: ribosomal RNA, 254 nt
Filed under: uncultured bacterium
Lineage: Bacteria
Description: partial 16S ribosomal RNA
Rfam family: Bacterial small subunit ribosomal RNA
Source: RNAcentral